CCUACGGGUGGCUGCAGUGGGGGAUAUUGCACAAUGGGGGGAACCCUGAUGCAGCGACGCCGCGUGGGUGAAGGAGUGCUUCGGCAUGGAAAGCCCUAUCGGCAGGGAAGUAGCAAGACGGUACCUGACUAAGAAGCCCCGGCUAACUACGUGCCAGCAGCCGCGGUAAUACGUAGGGGGCGAGCGUUAUCCGGAUUCACUGGGUGUAAAGGGAGCGUAGACGGCCAUGCAAGCCAGGGGUGAAAGCCCGGGGCUCAACCUCGCUCCGCCGUUGAAACUGGCGUUCUUGAGUGGGCGAGAAGUAUGCGGAAUGCGUGGUGUAGCGGUGAAAUGCAUAGAUAUCACGAAGAACUCCGAUUGCGAAGGCAGCAUACCGGCGCCCAACUGACGCUGAAGCACGAAAGCGUGGGUAUCGAACAGGAUUAGAUACCCGAGUAGUC
RNAcentral lists this ribosomal RNA (440 nucleotides) under uncultured bacterium. Its description in RNAcentral is "partial 16S ribosomal RNA". It matches the Rfam family "Bacterial small subunit ribosomal RNA", at positions 338 to 795 of the family's 1533-position model. The record is from RNAcentral.